This 86-nucleotide transfer RNA is filed under the name Candidatus Thorarchaeota archaeon. RNAcentral's name for it is "tRNA-Leu". It matches the Rfam family "tRNA". Rfam says of the family: Transfer RNA (tRNA) molecules are approximately 80 nucleotides in length. Lineage: Archaea; Promethearchaeati; Candidatus Thorarchaeota. The record is from RNAcentral.
GCCGAGGUAGCCAAGUGGUCAACGGCGGUGGACUCAAGAUCCACUCUCGUAGGAGUUCACGAGUUCGAAUCUCGUCCUCGGCACCA